GAUUUAUUUCCGCACAUCUUCACCGUUGAGAUUUGCAAAAUAAUGUCUGUAGAGGGAGAAAUAUUCAUCGCACAUAGACAGUGGAAUGAAGGUUUCAAUCCCUUCUCCUUCUCUCUAACGUUUGAGAACUCUAUCAGAGCAGUCAGAGGAAAAAAAUUGAGGAAUUUCAGGAAACUGCUAUAGAUGCCGCUAUUGCUGUCACAAUACACACAUGAACCCGCUUAGAAGUAAGAGAUGAGUUUAUCAAAAUAAGG
This 254-nucleotide long non-coding RNA is filed under the name Glycine max (soybean). RNAcentral describes it as "long non-coding RNA (GMAX_LNC001641)". The record is from RNAcentral. Lineage: Eukaryota; Viridiplantae; Streptophyta; Magnoliopsida; Fabales; Fabaceae.